GCCUGCGGCCUCACCUGCCUGGCCAGCCAGAGCUUGGGCUUCAGUGCUGAGACUCUGCAGUGGCCAGCGAGGACACACGGUGGAACCCUGAAGAAGGGAGACGACGCACCGGGAUGGGAGGAGACAGGGCACGUGGCUUCGACUGUUGGUGGGCCUCAAGAUGGCCACGUUGCUGUUCAAAGGAAGGAAGGACCCGGGGACUUCGCAGGGGAUCAUCCCUGGCAGGCAGGCUGGCCCCACCCCAGGAUCUCAGAGUCUGGGGCCCAGACUGUGGUUUAACCUUUCCAUGUGGCAGGCGGGUGUAAGGGCUGUUUAUCAGACAAGGGGAUUUUUUUGCUUACGAACUAUCUGCUUCAGUUUGGGGGAAACUGGUGGGCUGAGGUGGCAGAAAUGAGAGCCCUCAGCUCUGCCAGGGUGGGGAGGGGCACGUUCACUGACCUUUACUUGUACUUUUACCUCCAUCCCCGGCCUGGUUUUAACUGCUCAGUUUUCUUUUUCGCUACACUGAGAUAUACCAAGAGAGCCCCAGAAAAACCAUCACUGAUAGAGAAAUUCUGAGAAGAGAAAAAUAAAUAACCAGAGGAAGGCAAAGGGAGCGAACACCAA
Molecule: non-coding RNA, 606 nt
Organism: Odocoileus virginianus texanus
Lineage: Eukaryota; Metazoa; Chordata; Mammalia; Artiodactyla; Cervidae
Source: RefSeq, a predicted model, not a curated record